This 396-nucleotide long non-coding RNA is filed under the name Salmo salar (Atlantic salmon). RNAcentral's name for it is "lncRNA (ENSSSAG00000114506.1)". Lineage: Eukaryota; Metazoa; Chordata; Actinopteri; Salmoniformes; Salmonidae. The record is from RNAcentral.
ACGCAGGUUGUGAGCGAUAAAGCUAUGGUUGAAAAAGCUGAUGCCACUGUCUAUACAUCAAAGAUGACGGUUAGAUUGACCUUUGAACCCUGAUGAGGCGUCACUCACCACGCUUAAUGAAUUUCCAGUUCUUGGAAGUCUCUCUCUGCCUCGCCCCAAGGUAAUACUGACCUACUCUGAAGUUCUAGAGAUAGCCAGGUCUCUCUCCUUCACCCCAAGGUAACACUGACCUACUCUGAAGUUCUAGAGAUAGCCAGGUCUCUCUCCUUCGCCCCAAGGUAAUACUGACCUACUCUGAAGUUCUAGAGAUAGCCAGGUCUCUCUCCUUCGCCCCAAGGUAACACUGACCUACUCUGAAGUUCUAGAGAUAGCCAGGUCCCUCUCCUUCACCCCAAG